GGGAGUAUAGCUCAGGGGUAGAGCAUGUGCCUGGUAUGCAUGCGGUCCUGGGCUCGAUCCCCAGGGCCUCCG
Molecule: transfer RNA, 72 nt
Filed under: Camelus bactrianus (Bactrian camel)
Lineage: Eukaryota; Metazoa; Chordata; Mammalia; Artiodactyla; Camelidae
Also listed under: 2 other names
Rfam family: tRNA
About the family: Transfer RNA (tRNA) molecules are approximately 80 nucleotides in length. Their secondary structure includes four short double-helical elements and three loops (D, anti-codon, and T loops). Further hydrogen bonds mediate the characteristic L-shaped molecular structure. tRNAs have two regions of fundamental functional importance: the anti-codon, which is responsible for specific mRNA codon recognition, and the 3' end, to which the tRNAs corresponding amino acid is attached (by aminoacyl-tRNA synthetases). tRNAs cope with the degeneracy of the genetic code in two manners: having more than one tRNA (with a specific anti-codon) for a particular amino acid; and 'wobble' base-pairing, i.e. permitting non-standard base-pairing at the 3rd anti-codon position.
Source: Rfam by way of RNAcentral